ACGAGUAUGAAAGACAAGCUGAAAGACUUUUCUAAAUGAUGUAAGUGGUGGUGCAUGGUCGUUCUUAGUUCGUGGAUUGAUUUGUCUGGUCUAUUCCGAUAACGAGCGAGACCCCGACGUUCCUAAUAGGGAUGUGCAGCCCAGCUCGUGCUCACGCACUUGUUAGCAGCCGUCUCAUUAGCUUCUUAGACGUAUCAGAGCCGAUAAGGUUCUUGAAAUGGGUUAAUAACAGGUCAGUCAUGCCCUUAGAUGUUCUGGGCCGCACGCGCGUUACAAUGGUAUACAUAGAAAGUGCUCACAAGGGCGUCUCCGCAGCCGACAGGCUGCGGUAACCCCUAAUCUCUCCCUUGACUGGGACAGACUAUUGCAAUUAUUGGUCUCAAACGAGGAAUUUUUAGUAGUCGCAGGUCAUUAACCUGCGACGA
This 425-nucleotide ribosomal RNA is filed under the name uncultured myxomycete. RNAcentral describes it as "SSU rRNA". It matches the Rfam family "Eukaryotic small subunit ribosomal RNA", at positions 1230 to 1644 of the family's 1831-position model. The record is from RNAcentral. Lineage: Eukaryota; Evosea; Eumycetozoa.